Molecule: ribosomal RNA, 253 nt
Filed under: uncultured bacterium
Lineage: Bacteria
Description: partial 16S ribosomal RNA
Rfam family: Bacterial small subunit ribosomal RNA
Source: RNAcentral
GACGAACCGUGCGAACGUUAUUCGGAAUCACUGGGCUUAAAGGGCGCGUAGGCGGGCCGCCAAGUCAGGGGUGAAAUCCCACGGCUCAACCGUGGAAGUGCCUUUGAUACUGGCGGCCUCGAGGGAGGCAGGGGCGUGCGGAACUUUGGGUGGAGCGGUGAAAUGCGUAGAUAUCCAAAGGAACACCGGUGGCGAAAGCGGCGCGCUGGACCUCUUCUGACGCUGAGGCGCGAAAGCCAGGGGAGCAAACAGG